Molecule: ribosomal RNA, 532 nt
Filed under: uncultured bacterium
Lineage: Bacteria
Description: bacterial SSU rRNA
Rfam family: Bacterial small subunit ribosomal RNA
Source: RNAcentral
AGUAAAUAGAUACCCCGGUAGUCCACGCCGUAAACGAUGUCGACUUGGAGGUUGUGCCCUUGACGGCGUGGCUUCCGGAGCUAAACGCGUUAAAGUCGACCGCCUGGGGAGUACGGCCGCAAGGUUAAACUCAAUGAAUUGACGGGGGCCCGCACAAGCGGUGGAGCAUGUGGUUUAAUUCGAUGCAACGCGAAGAACCUUACCUACUCUUGACAUCCAGAGAACUUAGCAGAGAUGCUUUGGUGCCUUCGGGAACUCUGAGACAGGUGCUGCAUGGCUGUCGUCAGCUCGUGUUGUGAAAUGUUGGGUUAAGUCCCGCAACGAGCGCAACCCUUAUCCUUUGUUGCCAGCGGUUAGGCCGGGAACUCAAAGGAGACUGCCAUGAUAAACUGGAGGAAGGUGGGGAUGACGUCAAGUCAUCAUGGCCCUUACGAGUAGGCUACACACGUGCUACAAUGGCGCAUACAAAGAGAAGCGGCCUCGCGAGAGCAAGCGGACCUCAUAAAGUGCGUCGUAGUCCGGAUUGGAGUCU